AACGAACGCUGGCGGCAGGCCUAACACAUGCAAGUCGAACGCUCCGCAAGGGGAGUGGCGCACGGGUGAGUAACACGUGGGAACCUACCUUCUGGUACGGAACAACCAAGGGAAACUUUGGCUAAGACCGUAUACGACCUCCGGGUGAAAGAUUGAUCGCCGGAAGAGGGGCCCGCGUCCGAUUAGGUAGUUGGUGAGGUAACGGCUCGCCAAGCCUUCGAUCGGUAGCUGGUCUGAGAGGAUGACCAGCCACACUGGGACUGAGACACGGCCCAGACUCCUACGGGAGGCAGCAGUGGGGAAGUAUUGGACAAUGGGCGCAAGCCUGAUCCAGCCAUGCCGCGUGAGUGAUGAAGGCCUUCGGUUG
RNAcentral lists this ribosomal RNA (367 nucleotides) under uncultured bacterium. RNAcentral describes it as "bacterial SSU rRNA". It matches the Rfam family "Bacterial small subunit ribosomal RNA", at positions 29 to 425 of the family's 1533-position model. The record is from RNAcentral.